Molecule: ribosomal RNA, 322 nt
Filed under: uncultured eukaryote
Lineage: Eukaryota
Description: partial 18S ribosomal RNA
Rfam family: Eukaryotic small subunit ribosomal RNA
Source: RNAcentral
CCCUUAGAUGUCCUGGGCCGCACGCGCGCUACACUGACAUGUUCAACAAGUUUCUCCUAGUUCGACAGGACUGGGAAAUCUUUGAACGCAUGUCGUGAUAGGGAUAGAUCAUUGCAAUUAUUGAUCUUGAACGAGGAAUUCCUAGUAAACGCGAGUCAUCAGCUCGCAUUGAUUACGUCCCUGCCCUUUGUACACACCGCCCGUCGCACCUACCGAUUGAAUGUUUCGGUGAAGAUUCCGGAUAGGACUGAUUUGAUUUAUUUCAUUUCUGACCUAAAAGCUAUCUAAACCUCAACAUUUAGAGGAAGGUGAGGUCGUAACA